Molecule: long non-coding RNA, 2207 nt
Organism: Cercocebus atys (sooty mangabey)
Lineage: Eukaryota; Metazoa; Chordata; Mammalia; Primates; Cercopithecidae
Exons: 3
Source: RefSeq, a predicted model, not a curated record
AUAAACAAUCGAGUAAAAUUCUAAGGAAGGAGAGAGAGAAGAAGGAAAAAGGGAGAGGGCGCACUAGAAACCAAUCCUUCGCGCGCUGGCGGUGGGAGGGCUCAAGGGGGGGACGCGAGAAGACAGCGGACGGGAGGAAGGGAGCCGACCUGGGACCCUGCGGCCGCCGGCGACAAGAAGGCGUCGGGGGCGGAAAGUUGCACCGCACUCGACUGGGUGCGACUGGCGGGGCCUGUCCCACUGAGAAGCCCGGAGUUUGCAUUUGGUUUACAGCCUGGGAGUGUGGACGGUGAUGUACGACCACAACUCGGCUUCAAGUGCCAGUGCUUGGGGUACAGGUUGGGUAUGGUGGUAUGGUGGUGGUUAAAAGCUGGUAUUGAGCUUUGCACGAAGAACUGGGAGGCUAGAUCACCCAGGGCCGCGCAUCGUGAUGCAGCAUAAAAUUCCAAGAAUUUUCCGUUGCUGGUUUAAAUACUUAUAACACUGUAGAAGAAAUCCACGCGUUUUCUUCUCUAAAUUUAAGCAAUCUUUUGUCUAAUUAGAGUGCAGACCUGCGAAAGUAGAAAUAAUGUGUUUACAGUGGCUGGGCUCUCAGCCAUUAGAUUUUCACUAUAAACAUGUUGAGUGUCCAUUUACAGAACGCAUAUCCCAGGGGCAUUCCAAAAGAGUGGAAGAGUCAAAGAUUCAGUAGAUUAACACAGCAUUGUGAGCUUCACAGUGAGGGGGGGGGGGUGCAGGCACAUGAUAAAGCCAUUUCCCUUGAAGAGCUUACUUGAGGGUAUAAGACAUGUUAAAAAGAAAUAUUGCAAGUUUAAAAAUAGUGGAAGGCGGGGUGCAGUGGCUCACACCUGCAAUCCCAGCACUUUGGGAGGCUGAGGCGGGAGGAUGCCUUGAGCCCAGGAGUUCGAGACCAGCCUAGACAACGUGACGAAAACCAGGUGUCUACAAAAAAUACAAGAAGUCCCAGCUAUGGGAGGCCGAGGUGUAAGGAUAGAUCGCUUGAUUCCAGGAGGUCCAGGCUGCAAUGAGCCAUGAUUGUACCACUGCAUUACAGCGUGGGUGACAGAGUGAGGCCUUGUCCUCCCUUCCCCACCACAGAGGAAAACAAAACAACAACAACAAAAAAACAGUAGAAGACAAAUUCAAGAGGUCAUACGUAGAGUGUUGAGUGUGCAGAGUCUGGGACACAGAAGAUAAAUCCUCAGUCUUGUCCAAGAUCAGGAGAAUAAGAAGACUCUACCCUCUAAAACCAGGAGUCCAAAGGGCCAAAGGAAAGGUGAAUGUGAAAUUAACCUGCUGUGCAGAAGAGGAUCCCAGGAAAAAUCGUCUGUCUUGAUCAAAGUCCUGAAUAAAGGAGUAUAAAAAAUUGUCUUCCUUGAGAAUUCAUAACUAUGGUGUGGUCCAUAUGUAAUAUUAUGUCCCAAAUUCAUGAUACCAUGGAAUUAUUUUAAAAACUUCAUGAGCCCCAGUUUGUGGUGCUUUUAACGACUGGCAGAAGGAAAGACACGUCCUCUUGGAGGGCUAUCUUGAACCUAGGCCCCAAAGAAUUUCCAUAAUCAUAAUCAGAAAACACAAAACAUAUAAUAAGCAAGGCUCCAUGUAAGAGCAGACAGAAACAAAAUAUAAGGUCAGAUACACAAAGGCUUGGGUAUGAGAAUAAGCUGACACAGAAAAUAAGUGUAUCUAAUAGGUUUAAACAAACAAAAAGGAAGUUUGAAAAUAGAAGAAAGGAACAAGAGUCUAUAAAAAACAACUGAGUAGAUUUGAAAUCAAAAUACUUCUUUGUUUUUUUUCCCAACUAGAUAUUAUGUCCUUGAAGACACAGGGAUCAGGCUAAACACUUUAUAUGUUAUCAUUUGUCAAUUGAAGGAAGUUAGAAACAAACUACUCAAUUUUUUUUUUGAAACCCAGCAGUAAGAAUGAGAGUUGUGACUAAAUUUUUAAAAUGUCAAUGUAAAAACUCCUGUUGGAAAUUCCAAUCAAUCUCUUCUAGAGGAAAGGAAGACAAAGUAAGAAUUAAUGCAAUGCUUCUGGCUGACUGGCCUCCAGCAAAUGGCAUUGAGCUUUGUAAGUGGUCCAUCUACUCUGUUUCUCAUCUUGCAAAAACUUGUGACGUGAGCAUGUGUCCAUGUCCACUUGUGAGAAAAUCUAUUUAAAAUGUCGGCUGGGCGCGGUGGCUCACACCUAUAAUCCCAGCACUCUGGGAG